AUUGAACGCUGGCGGCAGGCCUAACACAUGCAAGUCGAGCGGUAGAGAGGUGCUUGCAUCUCUUGAGAGCGGCGGACGGGUGAGUAAUGCCUAGGAAUCUGCCUGGUGGUGGGGGAUAACGUUCGGAAACGGACGCUAAUACCGCAUACGUCCUACGGGAGAAAGCGGGGGAUCUUCGGACCUCGCGCCAUUAGAUGAGCCUAGGUCGGAUUAGCUAGUUGGUGAGGUAAUGGCUCACCAAGGCGACGAUCCGUAACUGGUCUGAGAGGAUGAUCAGUCACACUGGAACUGAGACACGGUCCAGACUCCUACGGGAGGCAGCAGUGGGGAAUUUUGGACAAUGGACGCAAGUCUGAUCCAGCCAUUCCGCGUGCAGGAUGAAGGCCCUCGGGUUGUAAACUGCUUUUGUACGGAACGAAAGGUUUGUCUUAAUACGAUGAGCUCAUGACGGUACCGUAAGAAUAAGCACCGGCUAACUACGUGCCAG
Molecule: ribosomal RNA, 487 nt
Filed under: uncultured bacterium
Lineage: Bacteria
Description: bacterial SSU rRNA
Rfam family: Bacterial small subunit ribosomal RNA
Source: RNAcentral